UUUUUUGUGGCAGAGGAAUGCAAAGAUUUUAAGAGUCUUUUAUGAAAUUUAUUUCCUUCCCUU
This 63-nucleotide transfer RNA is filed under the name Biomphalaria glabrata. Its description in RNAcentral is "tRNA-Leu". The record is from RNAcentral. Lineage: Eukaryota; Metazoa; Mollusca; Gastropoda; Planorbidae.